AGUGAACGCUGGCGGUAGGCCUAACACAUGCAAGUCGAACGGCAGCACAGUAAGAGCUUGUUCUUACGGGUGGCGAGUUGCGGACGGGUGAGGAAUACAUCGGAAUCUACUUUUUCGUGGGGGAUAACGUAGGCAAACUUACCCUAAUACCGCAUACGACCUACGGGUGACAGCAGGGGAUCGUCGGACCUUGCGCGUUUGAAUGAGCCGAUGUCGGAUUAGCUAGUUGGCGGGGUAAAGGCCCACCAAGGCGACGAUCCGUAGCUGGUCUGAGAGGAUGAUCAGCCACACUGGAACUGAGACACGGUCCAGCCUACUACGGGAGGCAGCGGUGAGGAAUAGUGGACGAUGGGCGCAAGCCUGCAGCAGCCAUACCGCGUGGGUGAAGAAGGCCUGCGGGUUGUAAAGCCCUUUUAUUGGGAAAGAAAAGCAGCAGGUUAAUACCCGGCUGUUCUGACGGUACCCAAAGAAUAAGCACCGGCUAACUUC
Molecule: ribosomal RNA, 489 nt
Filed under: uncultured bacterium
Lineage: Bacteria
Description: partial 16S ribosomal RNA
Rfam family: Bacterial small subunit ribosomal RNA
Source: RNAcentral